AUGAGGGCUGCCACUCAGCUCCUGGAGUUGUUGCUGCUCUGGCUUACAGGUGCCAAAUGUGACAUCCAGAUGACCCAGUCUCCAGGUUCCCUAUCUAAAUCUCUGGGAGAAAGUGUCACCAUCACAUGUCUGGCAAGUCAGAGCAUUGGUUGGAGUUUAGCAUGGUAUCAGUAUAAACCAGGGAAACUGAAACCUCCUAAGCAACUGAUCUAUGGUUCAAACCGCUUGGCAGAUGGGCUCCCCUCAAGAUUCAGUGGCAGUGGAUCUGACGCACAAUUUUCUCUCAAGAUCAGCAUCCUGCAGGCUGAAGAUGUGGCACCUUAA
Molecule: non-coding RNA, 324 nt
Organism: Peromyscus leucopus (white-footed mouse)
Lineage: Eukaryota; Metazoa; Chordata; Mammalia; Rodentia; Cricetidae
Source: the annotation of a RefSeq genome assembly